CGAACGCUGGCGGCGUGCCUAAUACAUGCAAGUCGAGCGGAGUUAAACCUUCGGAUUUAAUUUAGCGGCGGACGGGUGAGUAACACGUAGGUAACCUGCCUAACAGACUGGGAUAACUACCGGAAACGGUAGCUAAGACCGGAUACGACCAUUUGGGGGCAUCCUUGGAUGGUGAAAAGCGGAGUAAUCUGCUACUGAUAGAUGGACCUGCGGCGCAUUAGCUAGUUGGUGAGGUAGUGGCUCACCAAGGCGACGAUGCGUAGCCGACCUGAGAGGGUGAACGGCCACACUGGGACUGAGACACGGCCCAGACUCCUACGGGAGGCAGCAGUAGGGAAUCUUCGGCAAUGGACGAAAGUCUGACCGAGCAACGCCGCGUGAGUGAUGAAGGUUUUCGGAUCGUAAAACUCUGUUGCCAGGGAAGAAUGGCUAGGCGAGUAACUGCGCUUGGUUUGACGGUACCUGAGAAGAAAGCCCCGGCUAACUACGUGCCAGCAGCCGCGGUAAUACGUAGGGGGCAAGCGUUGUCCGGAAUUAUUGGGCGUAAAGCGCGCGCAGGCGGUCAUUUAAGUCUGGUGUAUAAACCAAGGGCUCAACCUUUGGACGCAUUGGAAACUGGGUGACUGGAGUGUAGGAGAGGAAAGUGGAAUUCCACGUGUAGCGGUGAAAUGCGUAGAGAUGUGGAGGAACACCAGUGGCGAAGGCGACUUUCUG
Molecule: ribosomal RNA, 714 nt
Filed under: uncultured bacterium
Lineage: Bacteria
Description: bacterial SSU rRNA
Rfam family: Bacterial small subunit ribosomal RNA
Source: RNAcentral